GAGGUUCAUCAAAUUUCAAAUGGCAAUAGAAAAAAGGCUAUUACAUGGCUUAAGCCCGAUUCAAGGAAACAACAUAACAAUACUGAUUGUGGAUACUAUGUGAUGAAAAAUAUGUUGGAUAUUGUCUCUGCCAAUAUAACUGAAUCUUGGAUGCAGGUAUUUAAUGAUCCUACAGAAUUGACACAAGAAGAUUUGUAUGAUUUGCGACUCCGUUGGGCAAAAUGUUUCUUUGAGUUAUAUAAAGGAUAACUUUAUGUUUCUCGUGGAUGCGUG
This is a long non-coding RNA of Vicia villosa (hairy vetch), 273 nucleotides long. RefSeq lists it as uncharacterized. The record is from RefSeq and is a predicted model, not a curated record. The transcript has 3 exons. NCBI's taxonomy places the organism in Eukaryota, Viridiplantae, Streptophyta, Magnoliopsida, Fabales, Fabaceae.